This 428-nucleotide ribosomal RNA is filed under the name uncultured Alkanindiges sp. RNAcentral describes it as "bacterial SSU rRNA". It matches the Rfam family "Bacterial small subunit ribosomal RNA", at positions 353 to 772 of the family's 1533-position model. The record is from RNAcentral. Lineage: Bacteria; Pseudomonadati; Pseudomonadota; Gammaproteobacteria; Moraxellales; Moraxellaceae.
AGUGGGGAAUAUUGGACAAUGGGCGCAAGCCUGAUCCAGCCAUGCCGCGUGUGUGAAGAAGGCCUUUUGGUUGUAAAGCACUUUAAGCGAGGAGGAGGCUUACCUGGUUAAUACCUGGGAUAAGUGGACGUUACUCGCAGAAUAAGCACCGGCUAACUCUGUGCCAGCAGCCGCGGUAAUACAGAGGGUGCGAGCGUUAAUCGGAAUUACUGGGCGUAAAGCGCGCGUAGGCGGUUUGUUAAGUCGGAUGUGAAAUCCCCGGGCUCAACCUGGGAAUUGCAUUCGAUACUGGCAAGCUAGAGUAUGGGAGAGGAAGGUAGAAUUCCAGGUGUAGCGGUGAAAUGCGUAGAGAUCUGGAGGAAUACCGAUGGCGAAGGCAGCCUUCUGGCCUAAUACUGACGCUGAGGUGCGAAAGCAUGGGGAGCAAA